This 486-nucleotide ribosomal RNA is filed under the name uncultured bacterium. Its description in RNAcentral is "partial 16S ribosomal RNA". It matches the Rfam family "Bacterial small subunit ribosomal RNA", at positions 28 to 507 of the family's 1533-position model. The record is from RNAcentral.
GACGAACGCUGGCGGCGUGCUUAACACAUGCAAGUCGAACGCUGAAGACCUGGCUUUUGUUGGGUUGGAUGAGUGGCGAACGGGUGAGUAACACGUGAGUAACCUGCCCUCUUCUUUGGGAUAACGCCCGGAAACGGGUGCUAAUACUGGAUAUUCACUGAUCUUCGCAUGGGGGUUGGUGGAAAGGUUUGUUCUGGUGGGGGAUGGGCUCGCGGCCUAUCAGCUUGUUGGUGGGGUGAUGGCCUACCAAGGCUUUGACGGGUAGCCGGCCUGAGAGGGUGACCGGUCACAUUGGGACUGAGAUACGGCCCAGACUCCUACGGGAGGCAGCAGUGGGGAAUAUUGCACAAUGGGCGAAAGCCUGAUGCAGCGACGCCGCGUGAGGGAUGGAGGCCUUCGGGUUGUAAACCUCUUUCGCUCAUGGUCAAGCCGCAACUGUGGGUUGUGGUGAGGGUAGUGGGUAAAGAAGCGCCGGCUAACUACGUA